RNAcentral lists this ribosomal RNA (442 nucleotides) under uncultured bacterium. Its description in RNAcentral is "bacterial SSU rRNA". It matches the Rfam family "Bacterial small subunit ribosomal RNA", at positions 27 to 456 of the family's 1533-position model. The record is from RNAcentral.
CGGCCGCGUCGACGCUGGCGGCGUGCUUAACACAUGCAAGUCGAACGAUGAAGCCCAGCUUGCUGGGUGGAUUAGUGGCGAACGGGUGAGUAACACGUGAGUAACCUGCCCUUCAGUGGGGGAUAACAUCCGGAAACGGAUGCUAAUACCGCAUAGGUUCUCUUUCCACAUGGAAAGAGAAGGAAAGACGGCCUUUGUGCUGUCGCUGAGGGAUGGACCCGCGGCGUAUUAGUUAGUUGGUGGGGUAAAGGCCUACCAAGACCAUGAUACGUAGCCGACCUGAGAGGGUGAUCGGCCACAUUGGGACUGAGACACGGCCCAAACUCCUACGGGAGGCAGCAGUAGGGAAUCUUCCGCAAUGGACGCAAGUCUGACGGAGCAACGCCGCGUGAGUGAAGAAGGUUUCGAUCGUAAAACUCUGUUGUCGGAGAAGAACACGUAA